GAUGAACGCUGGCGGCGUGCCUAAUACAUGCAAGUCGAGCGAACAGACGAGGAGCUUGCUCCUCUGACGUUAGCGGCGGACGGGUGAGUAACACGUGGAUAACCUACCUAUAAGACUGGGAUAACUUCGGGAAACCGGAGCUAAUACCGGAUAAUAUAUUGAACCGCAUGGUUCAAUAGUGAAAGACGGUUUUGCUGUCACUUAUAGAUGGAUCCGCGCCGCAUUAGCUAGUUGGUAAGGUAACGGCUUACCAAGGCAACGAUGCGUAGCCGACCUGAGAGGGUGAUCGGCCAGACUGGAACUGAGGCACGGUCCAGACUCCUACGGGAGGAAGCAGUAGGGAAUCUUCCGCAAUGGGCGAAAGCCUGACGGAGCAACGCCGCGUGAGUGAUGAAGGUCUUCGGAUCGUAAAACUCUGUUAUUAGGGAAGAACAAAAGUGUAAGUAACUGUGCACGUCUUGACGGUACCUAAUCAGAAAGCCACGGCUAACUACGUG
Molecule: ribosomal RNA, 497 nt
Filed under: uncultured bacterium
Lineage: Bacteria
Description: partial 16S ribosomal RNA
Rfam family: Bacterial small subunit ribosomal RNA
Source: RNAcentral